This 450-nucleotide ribosomal RNA is filed under the name uncultured bacterium. RNAcentral describes it as "partial 16S ribosomal RNA". It matches the Rfam family "Bacterial small subunit ribosomal RNA", at positions 354 to 796 of the family's 1533-position model. The record is from RNAcentral.
GUGGGGAAUCUUCCGCAAUGGACGAAAGUCUGACGGAGCAACGCCGCGUGAGUGAUGAAGGUCUUCGGAUUGUAAAGCUCUGUUAAUCGGGACGAAAGAGCCUAGUGUGAAUAAUGCUAGGAAGUGACGGUACCGGAAUAGAAAGCCACGGCUAACUACGUGCCAGCAGCCGCGGUAAUACGUAGGUGGCAAGCGUUGUCCGGAAUUAUUGGGCGUAAAGCGCGCGCAGGCGGAUCUGCCAGUCUGUCUUAAAAGUUCGGGGCUUAACCCCGUGAUGGGAUGGAAACUACAGAUCUAGAGUAUCGGAGAGGAAAGUGGAAUUCCUAGUGUAGCGGUGAAAUGCGUAGAUAUUAGGAAGAACACCAGUGGCGAAGGCGACUUUCUGGACGAUGUCUGACGCUGAGGCGCGAAAGCUAGGGGAGCGAACGGGAUUAGAAACCCUGGUAGUCC